Molecule: long non-coding RNA, 521 nt
Organism: Bombyx mori (domestic silkworm)
Lineage: Eukaryota; Metazoa; Arthropoda; Insecta; Lepidoptera; Bombycidae
Exons: 2
Source: RefSeq, a predicted model, not a curated record
GAAAUUUGCACUCGUUUGGUCAUUUUACAGCCGGCGUUUGCACGAAGCAGACAUGUUUCAUUUUAUGUAUUUAAUUACAGCUACAUGUUGAGUUUCAACUGGGACCGGCAGUCGUGUCGUCGACAGACUUCUAAAUAUACUCGAUGUGUGGAGAAAGAUACAAAUAAAAAGCAACGUAAAUAUAAACAAUUAGGUACGUGCAAAACCAACAUUACGCAUUAUAUUUUUUGCAUGAACCGAAUAGUCUUGGAGUGUAGUCAAAAUAUUUGCUGGCAAGUCUUUAGGAUGUGCGAAAAUGUGAGACAAUCACGUGAAGAUAACUCAAUUAGGUCACUUUGGUUGUUAUAAACAGAGAUUUGUAGUUGAAUCGGGUUUAAGAGUCACUCUGUGAUGGUCGGCCUCGUUGUCACGGUGCUUUUUUAAUUUAUAGAUAGUUUGGUGUUUGAUCUUUCUCCACCGGCGACAUAUGCUUUUGUUUUUUUAUAUUACAAGUAAUAAAAGUCAUUCUAAAUACACGAAAA